This 73-nucleotide transfer RNA is filed under the name Felis catus (domestic cat). It matches the Rfam family "tRNA". Rfam says of the family: Transfer RNA (tRNA) molecules are approximately 80 nucleotides in length. RNAcentral also lists the same sequence under 1 other name. The record is from Rfam by way of RNAcentral. Lineage: Eukaryota; Metazoa; Chordata; Mammalia; Carnivora; Felidae.
ACCUGGCUGGCUCUGUGGGUAGAGCAUGAGACUCUUGAUCUGAACUCUGUGAGUUUGAGCCCCACAUUGGGUG